AACUCUAUAAAAUUCAUUAAUUUAGUCUCUCUGGUUAAGAUCUUAUGACUAAAUUCACAGAUUUCAUAUACUCUAGGGACUAAAUUGAUGGUUUAUUCAAAAAA
RNAcentral lists this microRNA precursor (104 nucleotides) under Medicago truncatula (barrel medic). RNAcentral describes it as "miR5741a stem-loop (mtr-MIR5741a)". The record is from miRBase by way of RNAcentral. Lineage: Eukaryota; Viridiplantae; Streptophyta; Magnoliopsida; Fabales; Fabaceae.